UGUGUAAGUAACUAUGCACGUCUUGACGGUACCUAAUCAGAAAGCCACGGCUAACUACGUGCCAGCAGCCGCGGUAAUACGUAGGUGGCAAGCGUUAUCCGGAAUUAUUGGGCGUAAAGCGCGCGUAGGCGGUUUCUUAAGUCUGAUGUGAAAGCCCACGGCUCAACCGUGGAGGGUCAUUGGAAACUGGGAAACUUGAGUGCAGAAGAGGAAAGUGGAAUUCCAUGUGUAGCGGUGAAAUGCGCAGAGAUAUGGAGGAACACCAGUGGCGAAGGCGACUUUCUGGUCUGUAACUGACGCUGAUGUGCGAAAGCGUGGGGAUCAAACAGGAUUAGAUACCCUGGUAGUCCACGCCGUAAACGAUGAGUGCUAAGUGUUAGGGGGUUUCCGCCCCUUAGUGCUGCAGCUAACGCAUUAAGCACUCCGCCUGGGGAGUACGACCGCAAGGUUGAAACUCAAAGGAAUUGACGGGGACCCGCACA
This 482-nucleotide ribosomal RNA is filed under the name Staphylococcus cohnii. Its description in RNAcentral is "bacterial SSU rRNA". It matches the Rfam family "Bacterial small subunit ribosomal RNA", at positions 440 to 927 of the family's 1533-position model. The record is from RNAcentral. Lineage: Bacteria; Bacillati; Bacillota; Bacilli; Caryophanales; Staphylococcaceae.